RNAcentral lists this ribosomal RNA (279 nucleotides) under uncultured bacterium. Its description in RNAcentral is "partial 16S ribosomal RNA". It matches the Rfam family "Bacterial small subunit ribosomal RNA", at positions 506 to 784 of the family's 1533-position model. The record is from RNAcentral.
UGCCAGCCGCCGCGGUAAUACGAACCGUACGAACGUUAUUCGGAAUCACUGGGCUUAAAGAGUGCGUAGGCGGCCUGGCAGGUUGGGUGUGAAAGCCCUCGGCUCAACCGAGGAAUUGCGCUCAAAACCGUCAGGCUUGAGGGAGAUAGAGGAGAGCGGAACUGAUGGUGGAGCGGUGAAAUGCGUUGAUAUCAUCAGGAACACCGGUGGCGAAAGCGGCUCUCUGGGUCUCUUCUGACGCUGAGGCACGAAAGCUAGGGGAGCGAACGGGAUUAGAUA